GCAGCGGUAGUUCAGUGGUAGAAUGUCUCCUUCCCAAGGAGAAGGUCGCCGGUUCGAAUCCGGUCCGCUGCUCAA
Molecule: transfer RNA, 75 nt
Filed under: Candidatus Gottesmanbacteria bacterium RIFCSPHIGHO2_02_FULL_40_13
Lineage: Bacteria; Candidatus Gottesmaniibacteriota
Description: tRNA-Gly
Rfam family: tRNA
About the family: Transfer RNA (tRNA) molecules are approximately 80 nucleotides in length. Their secondary structure includes four short double-helical elements and three loops (D, anti-codon, and T loops).
Source: RNAcentral